Molecule: unclassified non-coding RNA, 350 nt
Filed under: Hevea brasiliensis (rubber tree)
Lineage: Eukaryota; Viridiplantae; Streptophyta; Magnoliopsida; Malpighiales; Euphorbiaceae
Source: RNAcentral
UGACUGUGCCAAGGCUGAGAUUAUAUUCUCAUGGGCUGAAAUUGUCAUACGCUUAUUCUCUGCUAUGUUCCAUAGCUCCAAAGACUGCAGCCGCAAUUUUAUUUUUUCAAGAAAUAAAAUAAUUAGAAAUAUAUCCACCAUUUGAGAAAGCCACCAUGAUAUUGGGAUGCCUACAUGAUAUAUCAUGUGUAUAAAAUAUCGACACCUUACACUAGAUUCAAACAAAUAUCACAAAGCCUAUUUGUAAACCAUGAAGAAAAGCAUCAUGAUGCCUCCUACCAUAUAUAGUCUCUGGCAAGUCAUUAUAAAAGUUUGCCUAUACCUACCGAGAUUCCUCCUAUCACCAGGAG